This 307-nucleotide ribosomal RNA is filed under the name uncultured bacterium. RNAcentral describes it as "partial 16S ribosomal RNA". It matches the Rfam family "Bacterial small subunit ribosomal RNA", at positions 506 to 807 of the family's 1533-position model. The record is from RNAcentral.
AGACAGCAGUCGCCGCGGUAAUACGGAGGGGGCUAGCGUUGUUCAGAAUUACUGGGCGUAAAGCGCACGUAGGCGGCUUGGUAAGUUAGAGGUGAAAGCCCGGAGCUCAACUCCGGAAUUGCCUUUAAGACUGCCGAGCUAGUAGGUGAGUGAGGUGAGUGGAAUUCCGAGUGUAGAGGUGAAAUUCGUAGAUAUUCGGAAGAACACCAGUGGCGAAGGCGGCUCACUGGCUCAUUCUAGACGCUGAGGUGCGAAAGCGUGGGGAGCAAACAGGAUUAGAUACCCCCGUAGUCCCUGUCUCUUAUAC